GCGCGGAUGGCGGAAUUGGUAGACGCGAGGGACUUAAAAUCCCUUGACCUAAAAAGUCGUGCGGGUUCGAUUCCCGCUCUGCGCACCA
This 88-nucleotide transfer RNA is filed under the name bacterium. RNAcentral's name for it is "tRNA-Leu". It matches the Rfam family "tRNA". Rfam says of the family: Transfer RNA (tRNA) molecules are approximately 80 nucleotides in length. The record is from RNAcentral.